This is a long non-coding RNA of Dermacentor andersoni, 472 nucleotides long. RefSeq lists it as uncharacterized. The record is from RefSeq and is a predicted model, not a curated record. Lineage: Eukaryota; Metazoa; Arthropoda; Arachnida; Ixodida; Ixodidae.
AAUACUGCGUACAAGAAGACCAAGCAGGGGCCAACCGAAAUGUCUGGAACAGCCGAACAUCUGGAACAUGACUGCUUUUCCGUAAGACUCAGAUGGCAGUGACUGAGUUGCCUUGAGUGAACGAUGAGGCGUGAUCAGCACACGAGAGAGCUGCACGUCUGCCGGUCUACAUCCGCGUGAGCUGCUCUAUUCAACGCCGCGCACGCUCUAUGCGACGGCGUUCCCGCUACUUCCCUCUGCAACUUAUCAUCGUCGCCAAGCGCAUCCUGAGAAAAAAAGCGAUAGGCGAUGGGAAAACGCCCAACCUACAAUGGGCGCUGACAGCACGGUACUUCCUACGCUGCUAUAUCAACAGCCAUGGCUUAUGAAAGGUGAGUCAGGAGUGCAGCAAUGUCACUAUCCCCUGAAAAAAGAAUUCCUCAGGAGACACGGAAUGUGUGGUCUAGCAUCUAAGCAAUUCAAACACCGAGAA